RNAcentral lists this long non-coding RNA (377 nucleotides) under Homo sapiens (human). RNAcentral's name for it is "HSALNT0147609". Lineage: Eukaryota; Metazoa; Chordata; Mammalia; Primates; Hominidae. The record is from RNAcentral.
UGUCAUGUUCAUGAAUUGGAAGAUUAGAUAUUGAGAGGUUUUUGUUUUUCCCUUGUAGAAAUUAUUCAUAAAAUUUAUGUAGAAACGAAAGGUUCAAAAAUAGCAAAGACACUUGAAGAACCAGGUAGGAAGGACUUGUUCUACCAGCUAUUGAUUUAUUAUAUUAUUACUCCAAUUAAGACACCGAGAUUGUCAUCAAUAUUGAAAAAUAGAUCAGAAGCAACAAAUUAAAAAUCCAGGAACCAGUCAUUUUUCCAUACUAAUUUGGUCUCAAUGAGAACAACAUAAUUCUCAUUCAUCUCCCUGUAGAAGUUAUAUAUUUCCAAAGUGGUUCAAAUGUACUGAAAGCCAACUCACCACUAGGAAUUGAAUCAAAA